UAGUCCCAACCGUAAACGGUGCACACUUGGUGUAGAGGGAAUUGACCCCCUCUGUGCCGGAGCUAACGCGUUAAGUGUGCCGCCUGGGGAGUACGGCCGCAAGGCUAAAACUCAAAGAAAUUGACGGGGGCCCGCACAAGCGGAGGAGCAUGUGGCUUAAUUCGAUGCAACGCGAAGAACCUUACCAGGGCUUGACAUAUACCUGCACGCCCCGUGAAAGCGGGGAAGCCUUCGAGGGUGGUAUACAGGUGCUGCAUGGCUGUCGUCAGUUCGUGCCGUGAGGUGUUGGGUUAAGUCCCGCAACGAACGCAACCCUUGUGUUUAGUUGCCACUCCUGGUGUUAAGCCAGGAAGCACUCUAAACAGACUGCCCGUGCAAGCGGGAGGAAGGUGGGGAUGACGUCAAGUCAGUAUGGCCCUUACGCCCUGGGCUGCACACGUGCUACAAUGACAGGUACAGUGGGAAGCAAUACCGCGAGGUGGAGCAAAUCCUCAAAACCUGCCCCAGUUCGGAUAGG
This 517-nucleotide ribosomal RNA is filed under the name uncultured bacterium. Its description in RNAcentral is "bacterial SSU rRNA". It matches the Rfam family "Bacterial small subunit ribosomal RNA", at positions 791 to 1301 of the family's 1533-position model. The record is from RNAcentral.